RNAcentral lists this ribosomal RNA (429 nucleotides) under Chloroflexota bacterium. RNAcentral describes it as "Chloroflexi bacterium partial 16S ribosomal RNA". It matches the Rfam family "Bacterial small subunit ribosomal RNA", at positions 355 to 776 of the family's 1533-position model. Lineage: Bacteria; Bacillati; Chloroflexota. The record is from RNAcentral.
UGGGGAAUAUUGCACAAUGGGCGCAAGCCUGAUGCAGCCAUGCCGCGUGUAUGAAGAAGGCCUUCGGGUUGUAAAGUACUUUCAGCGGGGAGGAAGGGAGUAAAGUUAAUACCUUUGCUCAUUGACGUUACCCGCAGAAGAAGCACCGGCUAACUCCGUGCCAGCAGCCGCGGUUAUACGGAGGGUGCAAGCGUUAAUCGGAAUUACUGGGCGUAAAGCGCACGCAGGCGGUUUGUUAAGUCAGAUGUGAAAUCCCCGGGCUCAACCUGGGAACUGCAUCUGAUACUGGCAAGCUUGAGUCUCGUAGAGGGGGGUAGAAUUCCAGGUGUAGCGGUGAAAUGCGUAGAGAUCUGGAGGAAUACCGGUGGCGAAGGCGGCCCCCUGGACGAAGACUGACGCUCAGGUGCGAAAGCGUGGGGAGCAAACAGG